This 314-nucleotide long non-coding RNA is filed under the name Polistes fuscatus (common paper wasp). RNAcentral's name for it is "uncharacterized LOC122514771". The record is from RNAcentral. Lineage: Eukaryota; Metazoa; Arthropoda; Insecta; Hymenoptera; Vespidae.
CCGAAAUACCAUUGCGUCUAUGCGUGUCUGCUAUAUAUAUAUAUAUAUUUGUGUGCUUGUGUGUGUUCCGAAACUUGCGAAAAGUGGUUCGUUUAAACGGGUUACGUAUGAAUUUUGAAUUUCUCUAUAGUCUUCAUCGUCUUCCCAUAGCUGAAUCGCGUUGGUGUACGUGGAUGUACCAACCCCCGUUGUAUUGCGUAGACGUCGUGAAAUAAAAAUUGGAAUGAAAAGGAACGAUUAUUCGCGGCAGAAGAAGAAGAAGAAUAAGAAGAAGAGGAACGUCAUCAUUGAUCGUCGAGGGAAGAAUAAACAUA